Molecule: long non-coding RNA, 964 nt
Organism: Brassica napus (rape)
Lineage: Eukaryota; Viridiplantae; Streptophyta; Magnoliopsida; Brassicales; Brassicaceae
Exons: 2
Source: RefSeq, a predicted model, not a curated record
AUAUGAUUUUUACAAUUUCAUUUAUUUUUAAAAUUUUUACUAACCACUUUUAUAUACUUUAUAUAUACAUAUAUGUGGACAUUGACGUGAACACUUUUUUUAACUAAAUAUUCACUACAACUAAAAUAUCUAAUUCUCUUCACCAUUAACAACUGUCCUACACUUUCGCUUUUCUUUUUGCUACUUGUAUUAGCUUGAUUGUGGUUCCUAGCCUUUGAAUGUGAGGCGUAACCAUUUUAAAUUAAUUCUUUCAAGGAGAAAAGAUUUACUUCAACUAAUUCAUGGCCUCUUAAAUUUCUAUUAGAUCCCUUUUCUAUGAGGUUCUUUAUCUCUUAAUUAUUAAGAGUACUUUACAAGUCAACAAUAGUGGAGCAUCUCAGAUGGAAAGGACGAUGGUGAUGUUGGAAACGUUCGAUCGAGUGAAAAGAGAUUUAGAAGAAUUGACAUCUUCUAUGAAAUUGGUCCAAUAAAGGGUCUCCUUGAUUCAAUUAGAGUUUCCCUGCUUUUAAAUCACUGGCAAUUGUGUGGGUUUCAGGCUUGUAGAGACGGGGUUUUUUUUUUCUAGAAACGGUUUUAUGCGAAAGUUUAAAUAUAAGGAGUACAAUAUCAAGGUGAAUCGAAAACUGAAGAUGGUAACAUGAAACUAUAUCAUCGGAAGUGAUCGGCAUCUUUCCCGACAGCAAACCGAAAGAUCUAGAUCUGCUUAUCCCAUUUAUGCCACGUGGAUGAUACAUAGCUCACCGACCUACACAUGUAUCAUAUUUGUAAUCGUAUAGAGUUAUAAAAAUUAUACUCUUUAGAUUUAAUGAAAUAUGAAGUUGACAAAAAAAAUUAAAAUUGUAAUUAUAAUGUUUUAGUGGGAUUUAAAUGUUUUUUUAGAUAUAUAUGUUUGGUUUUGUUGUCACUUGUCACGUUUAAAAUAUUAUUAAUUAUAAUGCUUUAGUUAGUUAGGAGAAGACAACUU